This 577-nucleotide ribosomal RNA is filed under the name Escherichia coli. RNAcentral's name for it is "partial 23S ribosomal RNA". It matches the Rfam family "Bacterial large subunit ribosomal RNA", at positions 2269 to 2840 of the family's 2925-position model. The record is from RNAcentral. Lineage: Bacteria; Pseudomonadati; Pseudomonadota; Gammaproteobacteria; Enterobacterales; Enterobacteriaceae.
UUUGACUGGGGCGGUCUCCUCCUAAAGAGUAACGGAGGAGCACGAAGGUUGGCUAAUCCUGGUCGGACAUCAGGAGGUUAGUGCAAUGGCAUAAGCCAGCUUGACUGCGAGCGUGACGGCGCGAGCAGGUGCGAAAGCAGGUCAUAGUGAUCCGGUGGUUCUGAAUGGAAGGGCCAUCGCUCAACGGAUAAAAGGUACUCCGGGGAUAACAGGCUGAUACCGCCCAAGAGUUCAUAUCGACGGCGGUGUUUGGCACCUCGAUGUCGGCUCAUCACAUCCUGGGGCUGAAGUAGGUCCCAAGGGUAUGGCUGUUCGCCAUUUAAAGUGGUACGCGAGCUGGGUUUAGAACGUCGUGAGACAGUUCGGUCCCUAUCUGCCGUGGGCGCUGGAGAACUGAGGGGGGCUGCUCCUAGUACGAGAGGACCGGAGUGGACGCAUCACUGGUGUUCGGGUUGUCAUGCCAAUGGCACUGCCCGGUAGCUAAAUGCGGAAGAGAUAAGUGCUGAAAGCAUCUAAGCACGAAACUUGCCCCGAGAUGAGUUCUCCCUGACUCCUUGAGAGUCCUGAAGGAACGUUG